GCUGGCAUAGCUCAACUGGCAGAGCAGCUGAUUUGUAAUCAGCAGGUUGCAGGUUCGAUUCCUGUUGCCAGCUCCA
This 76-nucleotide transfer RNA is filed under the name Candidatus Gemmiger faecavium. Its description in RNAcentral is "tRNA-Thr". It matches the Rfam family "tRNA". Rfam says of the family: Transfer RNA (tRNA) molecules are approximately 80 nucleotides in length. Their secondary structure includes four short double-helical elements and three loops (D, anti-codon, and T loops). RNAcentral also lists the same sequence under 2 other names. The record is from RNAcentral. Lineage: Bacteria; Bacillati; Bacillota; Clostridia; Eubacteriales; Oscillospiraceae.